This 64-nucleotide transfer RNA is filed under the name Mesocestoides corti. RNAcentral's name for it is "tRNA-Trp". RNAcentral also lists the same sequence under 1 other name. Lineage: Eukaryota; Metazoa; Platyhelminthes; Cestoda; Cyclophyllidea; Mesocestoididae. The record is from RNAcentral.
AUGAGAUUAAGUUAAAUUUAGACUGUAUGUUUUCAAAACAUUUAGUGAUUUUUAUCAUUUCAUG